GAUGAACGCUGGCGGCGUGCCUAAUACAUGCAAGUCGAGCGAACGGACGAGAAGCUUGCUUCUCUGAUGUUAGCGGCGGACGGGUGAGUAACACGUGGAUAACCUACCUAUAAGACUGGGAUAACUUCGGGAAACCGGAGCUAAUACCGGAUAAUAUUUUGAACCGCAUGGUUCAAAAGUGAAAGACGGUCUUGCCGUCACUUAUAGAUGGUUCCGCGCUGCAUUAGCUAGUUGGUAAGGUAACGGCUUACCAAGGCAACGAUGCAUAGCCGACCUGAGAGGGUGAUCGGCCACACUGGAACUGAGACACGGUCCAGACUCCUACGGGAGGCAGCAGUAGGGAAUCUUCGGCAAUGGGCGAAAGCCUGACGGAGCAACGCCGCGUGAGUGAUGAAGGUCUUCGGAUCGUAAAACUCUGUUAUUAGGGAAGAACAUAUGUGUAAGUAACUGUGCACAUCUUGACGGUACCUAAUCAGAAAGCCACGGCUAACUACGUG
This 497-nucleotide ribosomal RNA is filed under the name uncultured bacterium. Its description in RNAcentral is "partial 16S ribosomal RNA". It matches the Rfam family "Bacterial small subunit ribosomal RNA", at positions 28 to 507 of the family's 1533-position model. The record is from RNAcentral.